Molecule: unclassified non-coding RNA, 243 nt
Filed under: uncultured Lasiosphaeriaceae
Lineage: Eukaryota; Fungi; Ascomycota; Sordariomycetes; Sordariales; Lasiosphaeriaceae
Description: sequence contains ITS2
Rfam family: 5.8S ribosomal RNA (bases 1-52)
Source: RNAcentral
AACGCACAUUGCGCCCGCCAGUAUUCUGGCGGGCAUGCCUGUUCGAGCGUCAUUUCAACCAUCAAGCGCCUCGCUUGUGUUGGGGCCCUGCGGCUGCCGCAGGCUCCUAAAUCCAGUGGCGGGCUCGUCGUGGUACCGAGUGCAGUAAACAUCCUCGCUCAGGGAACUCGACGGGUGCCGGCCGUGAAACCCCCCCUCCUUAAGGUUGACCUCGGAUCAGGUAGGAAUACCCGCUGAACUUAA